Molecule: ribosomal RNA, 1239 nt
Filed under: uncultured fungus
Lineage: Eukaryota; Fungi
Description: eukaryotic LSU rRNA
Rfam family: Eukaryotic large subunit ribosomal RNA (bases 584-1239)
Source: RNAcentral
UCAUUCAUGAAUUAUGGUGUCUUCGGAUCCAAACCCUCAUAUAUCCUUUAAUACCUGUGAACCGUUUGCGAAAAAGGUCUUUGGCCUUUUUUUCGUACUACCUUUUUAAACAACGUCUAAGUAUGUCAUUUUAAAUAAAAUGGUCAAUCUGUGAAAGCAGGGCGACAAUUCUAACAAAAUACAACUUUUAGCAACGGAUCUCUUGGCUCUCACAUCGAUGAAGAACGCAGCGAAAUGCGAUAAGUAAUGUGAAUUGCAGAUUCAGUGAACCAUCGAAUUUUUGAACGCACCUUGCACUUUUUGGUAUUCCGAAAAGUAUGCCUGUUGGAGUGUCUUGACAAUCUCAAAUCCAUUUGGUUUUAUUAUCAAAUGUGACUUGGUGUUGAGCUUGCCGGUGUUUUGAUGCAUCGGCUUGCUUUAAAGUGAUUAGCUGGCAGUAUCUAUGGUGACUCAUCCAGUACCUGAGCGUAAUAAUUAUUUCGUUCAUGGUCAGAGUCGUUCAGCCUGGAUUACAAGUCGCUUCCAAUCCUUUCAAUUUAUUUUUGAUUUAAUCAAAACCAUUGAAAACCCCACUUUGUAAAUCAGACCUCCAAUCAGGUAGGACUACCCGCUGAACUUAAGCAUAUCAAUAAGCGGAGGAAAAGAAACUAACAAGGAUUCCCCUAGUACGGCGAGUGAAGCGGGAUGAGCUCAAAUUUUGAAUCUCACUGUCUCAGACAUGUGCGAAUUGUAAUCUAGAGAAGUGUUUUCCGUGCUGGCCUACGUACAAGUCCCUUGGAAUAGGGCGUCAUAGAGGGUGAGAAUCCCGUCCUUGACGUAGACUACCAGUGCUAUGUGAUACACUUUCAAAGAGUCGAGUUGUUUGGGAAUGCAGCUCAAAAUGGGUGGUAAAUUCCAUCUAAAGCUAAAUAUUGGUGAGAGACCGAUAGCGAACAAGUACCGUGAGGGAGAGAUGAAAAGCACUUUGAAAAGAGAGUGAAAUAGAACGUGAAAUUGCUAAAAGGGAAACGCUUGAAGUCAGUCGCGCCGGCCAGAAUUCAGCCUUUGGGUGUAUUUUCUGGUUGGCGGGUCAGCAUCAGUUUCGUUCGAGGUAAAAGGGUGAGAGAAAUGUAGCUUUUCGGAGUGUUAUAGUCUUUUAUCGUAUGCCUGGGACGGGACUGAGGAACGCAGCAUGCCCGCAAGGGCCGGUCUUCGGACACGUACAUGCUUAGGAUGCUGGCAAAAUGGCUUUAAACGACC